UACGAAGGGGGCUAGCGUUGCUCGGAAUCACUGGGCGUAAAGCGCACGUAGGCGGCUUUCUAAGUCAGGGGUGAAAUCCUGGAGCUCAACUCCAGAACUGCCUUUGAUACUGGAGAGCUUGAGUCCGGAAGAGGUGAGUGGAACUCCGAGUGUAGAGGUGAAAUUCGUAGAUAUUCGCAAGAACACCAGUGGCGAAGGCGGCUUACUGGUCCGGUUCUGACGCUGAGGCGCGAAAGCGUGGGGAGCAAACAGG
RNAcentral lists this ribosomal RNA (253 nucleotides) under uncultured bacterium. RNAcentral's name for it is "partial 16S ribosomal RNA". It matches the Rfam family "Bacterial small subunit ribosomal RNA", at positions 524 to 776 of the family's 1533-position model. The record is from RNAcentral.